Molecule: long non-coding RNA, 1786 nt
Organism: Anas platyrhynchos (mallard)
Lineage: Eukaryota; Metazoa; Chordata; Aves; Anseriformes; Anatidae
Source: RefSeq, a predicted model, not a curated record
CACUGAACGAGCUGGAAAAUAGCUAAAAUGAAGAGCUGAUGUUGUGGCACUGUGCUGGUGCCAUGUUGGGCCAGCAGAGGCCCCAGGACCUGGACAAGGCUGGCGCUGGAAGAAACCAAAGGAUGGUCCUCUGGCCUCAAUAUCUGCACGAUUAGCAGAGGUACAAACUAAAAAAUACCACAAAUGCUAUAGCAGCAGGCCAUAAGAUGAGAUUCUUACGUGACUGACCCCUUCACAGCCAUUUUAUUUCAAGACACCAGUGAAAUUUGAAACCAGAACAUGUUUAAUUUGCUUUUGGCUUUCAAAUAUUAUCAAAAAUAGUUACAUGGAACUAAGCAAGUGUUUCUUGCCCACCGCACUGUGGAAACACAGGACUGUCUUCUUAAGACAAAAUAGCUAUGCCACGUAGGUGACACCAAUUACCCCCAGUGCAGGCCCUGACGAGCAGGAGGAAAUUGCAAAGAGCUGCAGCAAUAAGGAGUGGGAGCUGGGGUAGUGUGAGGUAUCUGACUUAAGGGAGGAAAGGUGAAGGAAAUAACUUUUGAACUCCAAAUACAAGUGAAAGCAGAGCAUUAGCUGUACAGGCAGUAAAGCUUGGUAGAGUAAAAUGCUGCCUGUGAUUGUAAGCCAGACCUGGAGGACAAAGGUGAAGCCUGCAAUCAAGGUUUCUUAAUAAGACAGAUGUUCCUCAAAGGGAGAAGAAAAAUUCUUCACAGCUGCAGCAGCUAUUUCAAUCCCUCUUUGACAGAUCUUUAAUAUGACACUCUUGUCUCCCUGGAAGAACCAGAUCCCACUAGCAUGGAGUAUUCAUCCUGUACCUCAGUUCCAGCUUGCCUCCCACAUUUAAAAAGAGCAAAUGCAGUACUUCGUAUAUGGCUUUUCAGUUACGGACUGGCACAGUGGCAGUACCCGCUGAACGGAUAGAUGGAUGGGUGCCUUAACGAGCUUUGCGUGAGACCUGUAAUUUCAUGUGGCAAGGGGGUUACUAGGCUUCCAAGAUUCGAUACGUGUGUUGUUUUUUUUCUAUUUAUUUCUGUGGUAGUGGCUCUGAUUUGUUUUAUCCUGUCCCACCCCACCUUUCUGAGAAACAAGAUCUGUAUAUAGCUUUGUUCUUGCAAAUAGCUGUAGAUUGUGCAUGUAUGGGUUUAGUCCUAACAUGGGUAUCUACAGUGCUCUGAAUUCUGUACAGCUCUUCUGAACACUAUCUUAAUAUCUUCCAAUUUCUAAGAAGAAGUGGUAGUGGCUGAGCCCUAGGAAUGCAUAUAACACUGUCUUGCAAAUUUCCUUGCCUCUUAGCUUUAUUCUGAUAACAAUCUCAAAAUUGUUGUGAAACUCCAGUUGCUGAUUUCUGCAUUGUUAACAUCAGCAUAUUUUUUAGGUGUUUUAGGUAAUGGAACUAGAUGAAGGCUGAACUUUUAGGUAAAGCAUUUUAUCUCUUUGUAGCAAAACAGUAAACAGGCAUUUAGGAAUUAUCUCCCUGUGGACAAUGCAGAAAUGAACAAUGCUGCCUGUGCCAUGAACUGGAAGUUCUUUGCUUUAAGUCUUUUACUUUGGGACAGUGAUUGUGGAAAUCUUUCUGUUUCAUGUUACUUUGGACUUGUACGUGAUCAUAAAUGUGAUCAGACAAUGGUUGUGUAGAAUUAGAAGAGUAAUUAAUUAGCAUGAAUUAUUAAGGGUUAAUGAUGUGUGUUAUAGCUGUAAUGUUCUUAGUAAAAAGACUAAGAAAUGUGAACGGUUUCAUUUCUACAUUCUCUGAGUACACCUAUGAGAUUUGUGAGAGAGAACA